GAGAGCACAGUAUGAUGAAAGUUGUAAGCUGUGUUCGGGGGGAGUUAUUGUCUAUCAUUGGCCUCUAUGGUAGAAUCAGUCGGGGGACCUUAGAGGCGGUGGUUUACCCUGC
Non-coding RNA from Capsicum annuum, 112 nucleotides. Lineage: Eukaryota; Viridiplantae; Streptophyta; Magnoliopsida; Solanales; Solanaceae. The record is from Rfam.